RNAcentral lists this long non-coding RNA (454 nucleotides) under Cricetulus griseus (Chinese hamster). RNAcentral's name for it is "lncRNA (ENSCGRG00015036850.1)". The record is from RNAcentral. Lineage: Eukaryota; Metazoa; Chordata; Mammalia; Rodentia; Cricetidae.
GCCAAACCCAGCAUGUGUUGCGCCUCGUUUGCUGCUGAUGGUUUAAACAGCCCUUAAGUUAAGAAAUAAAAACGUACUGUUUCUGUAAAACUGUUCCUAACUGGAUAAAGAAAAGACGCACGCACGGGUUGGACUUCAAACAAUUCCUGGGCCCAAGGGAUCUUCUUUUCUUAGCAUCCCUAGUCUCUAGGAUUGAAAGUGUGCAGGAUGGCCACCAAGUGUGAUGACCUGAGUUCUGUACCCAGGACCUACAAUGGUGGAAGGAGAAAACAGACUCCUGCAAGUUGGCUUCUGACCUCCAUAUGCAUAGUGUGGUAUGCCCAAGUCAGAAGAUGAUGUAGAUGGUGUGGAUUCCCUGGAGUUGGAGUUACAGGCACAUACUCUGGCUGUGCAGCUGAGGCUGGCUUUGGACAACGGAUCUCCUACUCCCAUCUCCCGGGUGCUAGGAUUUAGG